RNAcentral lists this ribosomal RNA (511 nucleotides) under uncultured bacterium. RNAcentral's name for it is "partial 16S ribosomal RNA". It matches the Rfam family "Bacterial small subunit ribosomal RNA", at positions 28 to 523 of the family's 1533-position model. The record is from RNAcentral.
GACGAACGCUGGCGGCGUGCCUAAUACAUGCAAGUCGAGCGGAAGUUGGAGAGCUUGCUCUUCAACCUUAGCGGCGGACGGGUGAGUAACACGUGGGCAACCUGCCCUGCAGAUCGGGAUAACUCCGGGAAACCGGCGCUAAUACCGAAUAGUUUUCGCCACCUCCUGGUGGCGUACGGAAAGACGGUUUCGGCUGUCACUGCAGCAUGGGCCCGCGGCGCAUUAGCUAGUUGGUGGGGUAACGGCCCACCAAGGCGACGAUGCGUAGCCGACCUGAGAGGGUGAUCGGCCACACUGGGACUGAGACACGGCCCAGACUCCUACGGGAGGCAGCAGUAGGGAAUCUUCCGCAAUGGACGAAAGUCUGACGGAGCAACGCCGCGUGAGUGACGAAGGUUUUCGGAUCGUAAAACUCUGUUGUGAGGGAAGAACAAGUACCACUUAACUACUGGUACCUUGACGGUACCUCACCAGAAAGCCACGGCUAACUACGUGCCAGCCGCCGCAGUAA